CUCUAAGGUGACUGCCGGUGACAAACCGGAGGAAGGUGGGGAUGACGUCAAAUCAUCAUGCCCCUUAUGACCUGGGCUACACACGUGCUACAAUGGGCAGAACAAAGGGCAGCGAAGCCGCGAGGCUAAGCCAAUCCCACAAAUCUGUUCUCAGUUCGGAUCGCAGUCUGCAACUCGACUGCGUGAAGCUGGAAUCGCUAGUAAUCGCGGAUCAGCAUGCCGCGGUGAAUACGUUCCCGGGCCUUGUACACACCGCCCGUCACACCACGAGAGUUUGUAACACCCGAAGUCGGUGAGGUAACCUUUUGGAGCCAGCCGCCGAAGGUGGGACAGAUGAUUGGGGUGAAGUCGUAACAAGGUAGCCGUAUCGGAAGGUGCGGCUGGAUCACCUCCUUUCUA
This 399-nucleotide ribosomal RNA is filed under the name Bacillus haynesii. RNAcentral describes it as "bacterial SSU rRNA". It matches the Rfam family "Bacterial small subunit ribosomal RNA", at positions 1138 to 1533 of the family's 1533-position model. The record is from RNAcentral. Lineage: Bacteria; Bacillati; Bacillota; Bacilli; Caryophanales; Bacillaceae.